Molecule: unclassified non-coding RNA, 962 nt
Filed under: Hevea brasiliensis (rubber tree)
Lineage: Eukaryota; Viridiplantae; Streptophyta; Magnoliopsida; Malpighiales; Euphorbiaceae
Source: RNAcentral
UCCUCCUCCUCCUCCUCCUCCAACAGCAGCAACCUCCCGGCCCCCUUCCGCCCCCGCCUCAUCCGCAACACCCCCGUCUUCGCCGCCCCCGUCGCCCCCGCCGCGAUGGACGCCGCCGUCGACCGCCUCAAGGAUGGGUUCGCCAAGUUCAAGACCGAGUUCUAUGACAAGAAGCCGGAGCUCUUCGAGCCGCUCAAGGCCGGCCAGGCACCCAAGUACAUGGUGUUCUCGUGCGCCGACUCUCGCGUGUGCCCGUCGGUGACCAUGGGCCUGGAGCCCGGCGAGGCCUUCACCGUCCGCAACAUCGCCAACAUGGUCCCAGCUUACUGCAAGAUCAAGCACGCUGGCGUCGGGUCGGCCAUCGAGUACGCCGUCUGCGCCCUCAAGGUCGAACUCAUCGUGGUGAUUGGCCACAGCCGCUGCGGUGGAAUCAAGGCCCUCCUCUCACUCAAGGAUGGAGCACCAGACUCCUUCCACUUCGUCGAGGACUGGGUCAGGACCGGUUUCCCCGCCAAGAAGAAGGUUCAGACCGAGCACGCCUCGCUGCCUUUCGAUGACCAAUGCGCCAUCUUGGAGAAGGAGGCCGUGAACCAAUCCCUGGAGAACCUCAAGACCUACCCGUUCGUCAAGGAGGGGAUCGCCAACGGCACCCUCAAGCUCGUCGGCGGCCACUACGACUUCGUCUCCGGCAACUUGGACUUAUGGGAGCCCUAAAUCCGACCGUCCGUCCGUUCAGUUCGUCAGUUUACGCCAACGCUUUUGCAUAAGUACUACCUGAGGAUAUCGUCCCCGAUCAUCGAUGUGAACGCGUGGAGUACUACUACGUACGUACCGGAUGGUUCGAUAUAUGUGAAUGCUGUAUUAAGUAAUAACAAGAAAUAUAUCUCCUCUACUUUUUCCUGACGCGGAGUUGUACUGCCUAUGAUGCAUAAUUUGAUCGCAGUGUGAUCAAAAGACAUCAG